RNAcentral lists this ribosomal RNA (495 nucleotides) under uncultured bacterium. Its description in RNAcentral is "bacterial SSU rRNA". It matches the Rfam family "Bacterial small subunit ribosomal RNA", at positions 28 to 509 of the family's 1533-position model. The record is from RNAcentral.
GACGAACGCUGGCGGCGUGGAUUAGGCAUGCAAGUCGAACGGUAUCAUCCUUUCGGGGGUGAGAGAGUGGCGAACUGGUGAGUAACACGUAGGUGAUCUACCCUCAAGAUUGGGACAACCCAGGGAAACUUGGGCUAAUACCGGAUGAAAGCAGCAGUGAUGUUGUUUGAAAGGUGGCGUAAGCUGCCGUUUGGGGAUGAGCCUGCGCUCUAUUAGUUAGUUGGCGGGGUAAAGGCCCACCAAGGCGAUGAUAGAUAGGCGGCCUUAACGGGUGGUCGCCCACACUGGGAUUGAGAUACGGCCCAGACUCCUACGGGAGGCAGCAGUCGAGAAUAGUCUACAAUGGCCGAAAGGCUGAUAGUGCGACGCCGCGUGAACGAAGAAGCCCUUCGGGGUGUAAAGUUCUUUUAUAUGUGAGCAGUGCUUUCUAUGUGAACAGCAAUGGGGAAGAGAUAAUUAGCAUAUGAAAUAAAGCAAACGGCUAAACUCCGUGCC